Prunus persica (peach) is the source of this 1724-nucleotide long non-coding RNA. RefSeq lists it as uncharacterized. The record is from RefSeq and is a predicted model, not a curated record. Lineage: Eukaryota; Viridiplantae; Streptophyta; Magnoliopsida; Rosales; Rosaceae. The transcript has 4 exons.
AUCGGUUCUUUUCUCAAUAAUAUAUCGUUUUAGGCCGAGAAUAUUUUCGGGCCCAACCGUGGAUUUUUUGGGCCUCAACAUUAGCCCCCUUAAUUAUUAGGGCCAUGGAUAAGUGCUGGAAUGGGCCGAAUAAUUAAUCCCAACCCAAAAUCAAAUUCAUAAGCUCCAGCAAUUAUUUGCGAUUUCCCAGAUACCAACUUCCUCCUUCUUCCUAUUUAUUAUUUCUUCCUUCUUUUCCUUCUUCUUUAUGCAUACCAGAGUAAACCUCUUUUUACCACUUUCCCCUUCUUUCUCUUUCCUUCCUCCAGCGAACUUAGAGUGAGAGAGAGAGAGAGAUCAGGCAACAACCACCCAUUUUCAGCCGCUGGAAGAGAGUUCGAGCCGAAUCCGACUCCGUCAUCCCCCUGUACGAAGAAACCCGCUUGCCAUUGUUGGAAGAGAUUGUCUCUGUGCAGAAUUUUCUUCCAAAAUUCCCAAUUCCUUCUUUCUUGGUGCAUCUGAAGCUAUCCUUUGAGGGAUUAACAAGCCAAGCAUCCACUCUUUUUGACCCAUCCACCUUUUGUUGGAGUAAUCGUUAGCAAGGAAGGGGUUUGCAUCAAUUUUUGGGGGUUCUCCCAUUUUGAUUUCUUUCUUUUUGCAAGCUGCUGGAAAGGUGCUGAAAUUGAGAGGAAAAACCGCUGGUGUAUACGUUUCUGGCACAGGCAUGGGAAGCAUAUUCUUUGUUGGCAAUUCUUGCGGGGAUUCACAUAAUAAGUCCCAAUGACCUUUGUGAUGAGUGAUGGCCUAUUUUCCCUUGCACGAUGGAUUGAAGAAGAGAUGCCUACCUUCAUCACUUAGAAACACUUGCCAAACACUGCAUGUUGCUCAUUUCUGAUAGUAUCCAACCUUCUAGUGAGUUGUGACUUAAAUCCAGGUUGGUCAAUUGAAAUAACUUCCCCAAAUCCAAUGGAAUUGCUUGAGCCAACUUGUUGUGGCUCAAAUUCAAGUAGUGUAAUCUAAACAAGUCUCCUACAAUGGUCGGAAUUGACUCAUUCAAUUUGUUUGUGGACAAGUCAAGAUAUUCGAGGCCACUCAAUGAUCCCAAGUUCGAGGGUAUAUGACCCGAAAGUUGAUUUCCAUUCAACAUCAGUUUGACCAAAGAAGUCAAUCUCCCGAAUUCCUUUGGAAUCAACCCAAAUAAACGAUUCGAAGAGAGAUCUAGCUCUUGAAUUUUUGUUGCUUUGGCUAUCUUAGGUGGUACGCUCCCAGUAAGGUUGUUUCCCGCAAGUCAUAGGGUUUUUAAUUGUGGGCAUUGUCCCCAUUUGAGUGAGAUCUCACCAUACAAGUUAUUGUGGCUUACAUCUAUAAAAUGAAGAUUUGGAUAAACACCAAAGUCUUGAGAUAUAUUGCUUGUCAAUUGGUUCCCAUGAAGACGGACUCUAAAUAAGCUCGUGCAGGUUUUUAAGUUUUGGGGAUUGGACCAGUCAAAUAGUUUUUGCUGGCUGAGAAGUUUGUGAGUUUUCCACCUUGACAAAUAUUUUGGGGCAAAUAACAAAAAAAUUGGUUUGUAUCCAAUUGCUAGUUAGUCAACUUUUUGAGAUUCUCUAUCUGUUGGGGGAUGAGGCCGGAAAGUUGGUUAUCCCGUAAGUGUAAGAAUUCAAAUAGUUUCUUAAGUCACCAAAUGUAGCAGGAAUUGAACCGUUUAGUUUAUUAAUGCUCAAUUCUAAAUCCACAAGGCUUUUCAA